AACGAACGCUGGCGGCAUGCCUAUCACAUGCAAGUCGAACGAGCCCUUCGGGGUUAGUGGCGCACGGGUGCGUAACGCGUGGGAAUCUGCCCUUGGGUUCGGAAUAACAGUGAGAAAUUACUGCUAAUACCGGAUGAUGUCUUCGGACCAAAGAUUUAUCGCCCAAGGAUGAGCCCGCGUAGGAUUAGCUAGUUGGUGGGGUAAUGGCCUACCAAGGCGACGAUCCUUAGCUGGUCUGAGAGGAUGAUCAGCCACACUGGGACUGAGACACGGCCCAGACUCCUACGGGAGGCAGCAGUGGGGAAUAUUGGACAAUGGGCGAAAGCCUGAUCCAGCAAUGCCGCGUGAGUGAUGAAGGCCUUAGGGUUGUAAAGCUCUUUUACCCGGGAUGAUAAUGACAGUACCGGGAGAAUAAGCUCCGGCUAACUCCGUG
This 433-nucleotide ribosomal RNA is filed under the name uncultured bacterium. RNAcentral describes it as "partial 16S ribosomal RNA". It matches the Rfam family "Bacterial small subunit ribosomal RNA", at positions 29 to 507 of the family's 1533-position model. The record is from RNAcentral.